Molecule: ribosomal RNA, 83 nt
Filed under: Planctomycetota bacterium
Lineage: Bacteria; Pseudomonadati; Planctomycetota
Source: RNAcentral
GGUGCUCAUACCAAGCUGGAAAUACCCGUUCCCUUUCCGAACACGGCAGUCAAGCAGCUUGGGCCGAUGAUAGUACAUUGUGC